UUUAACCGGACAAUGGCUAGCACAACAUCCAUAAACGAUCAUCUCCUCAUCAAAAAUCUCCUUCUAAACCCGUCUUACCCUGUGGAAGUAAUCUCACGGUCUAGAAUGGCGGUGAAUACUAGGAACACAAUUGGUGUCGUUAUCCUCCUGGUCGUGAUGGCAGCAGCGGUAUCAACACCAGUGGCAACUGCCGAAGAGUUUUGUUGGGACAAAUGUAUCAAGCGCUGCAAGGGAGAACUAGAGGUUUGCAGCCCAAAGUGCAUUCAUUUUUGCAACUAUCAAUCCGGAGCCGUAGGAUAUGUUAAGUGGGCUGCCGAUAAACUGAAGGAGGCCGCUGCUGCCCCGCCCCAAAAGGCCGUCCUCCUCAAGAAUGAAGCUCAAACGUACUUAGAACGUGCCAAUGCCCUCAACGAGAAAGCCGGGACACCGUGAGUGUGCACCCUUCCAUCUAUAGGUGUCGCUGUUGUUAUGGUGUCUAUAAAUGUUUUGUUUAUUUAAAUUGUCGUGGUUGCAUCCCAUUUUUUUGUUUCUUUGUUAAAGUAAUAUCUUUUGUAUUAUGACGACAAGCUUGUUACAGCGACUCAGUUACUCUUGUCGACUUUACUUAUGUAUAAUGAUUUUCAUUUGAUUUGUCUAUGUAAUAAUGAAGUUCCUUCAUAUGGAAAUGUUCCUUUUUAAUGCCCACAAUGCAUAUUCUCCUAUUUUAUCUCCAUGAAAGAAGGAUUGGGAUCUUUAGGAUGUGUAAAACAAUCCAUCUACAUUCAAGACCAAUAAGGCAUGCAUAUUCUAGAGAAACAUCCGUGUAAGUGCUUGUGCAUUUUUUAGAAAAUGUUCAUAUAUAUGUAAAAGACUAACCUUGACAUUCACAUGUUUUCUUAAAAAAUCAUGUAAGUGUUUUGCGCAUUCUAAAAGAAGAAUUGGAAAACACCAGGAAACCACAUAAAUUAGACCUUUUUCCUAGGAAAUAUAUGGCGGAAAAACCAACCAGCCGAAAUAACGGUGGGGAAAAAAUUAAAAAAAAUUGGGCAUCUAUAAUUUCCCACGGCCACCGAGGCAAUCGCACUUAUUCUUGUCAUUGUGAAAUUAUCGAUACAACUUUGUUGAUUAUUUGUUUGUUCCUCUUUAAGAAAAUCAUGUAUUCGCAACAUUUUUAUGUCAUCCAUCCCUAUCCUGUCAUCUCCCUAUUACAAGACAGGGCUCCUAAUUAAGGUGUAGGACUCCUUAGGGCUCCUCGUCCGUCCUUCACACCAUGUAUCAUGUAAACAUAUGACCGUCGUCGGUUGUUAACGUUGCUUUACCAUCCUUGGAGUACAUAAGGUAAAACACUGCACUUCACCUUUUGGUCUCGGUGAGAAGGAGUUUGCAUGGAAGAAUAAGGCCUGACAUCGACACUCGGAACCUACGGUUUCCUUGGCCACCGUCUCCUUGGGCUUGGUGAGGCCAUGGCCAUGCCGACAUCGCUAGUGAAGAUAAGACAUAAAUCCAAGUCCAAGUCACGAUGGUGCCAACAAGACAUCAGCCACAUCCUCGGCAUCUACUUUGGCGUCGUCGAUGUCCCGGACACCAUGUAUACGGGUCACCUAAUCUCAAUCUCGUGUGCUUAAUAAGUAAGUAAUUACUACGAUAGUUUCCAAGAUCCUUGAAUUUUUUACUUCUGCAAAAGUAAAUAUUGUAUUAUUUUCAGUGACAUUAUCCAUCUAGAAAGGCAUCCCCAAACCACUAGCUCUAGCAAUAUAGCUAAGUCCUUUUUUAAUGAACUCCUUAGGAACUCCCCACAAUUUUCUAAAAUUGGCAUUUUUCUUUUUUCCCAUUUUUUUCUUACAAACCUGAUGAAAAGGUAGGGGCAUAUGCAUGUCAUGUUGUAAGUCAUGCAUGUUGAUCUGGGCAGACGGUAGCCAUUCCUCCUUGUUAUUACACAAGCACAUAUUGGUGACAAGUGAUUGGCUAGAAAGAUUUAUUUUCCAUGGUAGAAGUAAAUGUUAUGAGGAAUGCAUACACCGGGUCAUUCCUGAUAAAAUUCUACUCCCUCCAUCCCUAAAUAUAAGACCUUUUAGAGGUUCCACUAUGAACAACAUACGGAUGUAUGUAGUCAUAUUUUAAAGUAUAGAUUCACUCAUUUUGCUCCAUAUCUAGUCUAUAGUGAAAUCUCCAAAAGGUAUUAUAUUUAGGAACGGAGGGAGUAAUGAUCUAUUUAUGACACGGCCAUACAUCAUGGAGGACCAUCUGUAUUUUCCUUUUGAAAAUCAUCUGAAUACAAGUAGUGAUUGUUCGAUUGUAUCUUGCAUGCAUGUGUUGCAAAAGGGCAUGACUUGGAUUAUACAUGCACAAUUCAACGGGACAAUAAAGAGACCAACAAAAUCUCUAGUAGUAAUAUAUGUGUUUUGAAUAGCAUGGCACAGGCUGGGCUACAGGGGAAUGGUCAUAAUACAUAUGUAUGGGGGGAGGAUUCCUCUCUAAUACCAGUAGCUUGAAAAUUUUGUUUCACUGUCAGAUCAAUAGGUGUCUUCCGCUUUGUGGCGUAACUUGUGGCUGAAGUUCAGUGAGCCAAAUGAACUUACAUACCUGUCUCAUGUUAGUGAACCUUCUCUCCGCGAAAGAAUAUGAUAGUAUAUAGCUAUAUGCUUCAAGUGUUUCGAUUUUUCACCAGCCAAUAAUAUGGUUCUUUAAUAUCUGUUACGAGGCACUAUAAGAGUGCAUGCCUAUACCCGAUACGUUUUUUAAGGGCAUAAGCAAAAUGUAUCGUAUAAUUAACUCAUUUCCUCUUAGAGGUGUUACCCAAGGGAUUUUGUUUCAAAUUUGAACUAAAUCUUCAAAUGUUUCCUAAUCCUAAUCGAAAAUCGUCAAUUUCAAACAAUUCAUCCAAAACUUUGAAAAAUUGUUUUUCUUUAGGCCGGAGUGCCGCCGCCCCCUAGUUCUCGCGACGACUUCACCAAAUCGCAUGUUGCCGCUACGUCUCCCUUUUGGGUCGUAGUGGCGUGAGGCGCGCUCCCCACGACACACAAGCCACCGCUACAACGCCCCUCCGGGAUGUAGUGCUGCGACACGCGGUUCUCGCUCCCAUCCGAGGUCUUUCUGCCGUCGCCCCGACCUGCUCGCCGCCCCGAGGUCUUCCCCCCGUCACCCCAACCCGCACGUUGCCGCCUCGGGAUGUAGUGUCGCGACGCGCGGUCCACUCUGUAGUGCCCUACUCGUUGACUUCAUGUGGUAUGCGCCUGUCGGAUUUCGGGCUCCGCAAUACCCUAAGGAUUCGAACAUUGGGGCGUGUAUGAAGAUCUCUCCCUGCUUAGCCUCGCCUAACCACUACUCGAUGGAAACAACGAGGGACUCACUUGAUGGCGACGGUAGCAUAGAACACAAUAGCUUACGGUAGCACAGAACACAACAGUUUACCCAGUUUCGGGAAGCUGCGAAACGUAAACCCCUACUCCUUCUUUUGGUUGAUUGCCUCUCGUGGAGGUGGUGGAUGAAUUGGUACAGUGCUCUCGAGCCUCCGGAGGCCAAGUGGCUAGGUGUAUUACCCUACGGUUCUAAUGAACUCUCCCCUACCAAGUGUUCUACCCUCUCAAUUUAUAGCGGAGGCCCGGGUCCUCUGCUCUCGUAGCUUCGACGGGAAGGGAUCCCAUAGUGGCCAAUUUUGAAGGGGAACACGGGAACAUGCCCCCUUCCGAAAGGUGGUCAUCGCCUGCAAAGUAACUAUCCGCGCUGCAGGGACUGGCCCGAGGAUGAUUUUUGCACUACUAGCGUGCGGCUGCGGCUUCGUUGCACCAGAAGGGAAAACUUUGGAAGAUGCCUUUGGAACCCUUGUACGCUUCCGCCUCCUUCCACUUCUGUUGCUUUCCUGUCCUUUCGUGGCGUCACCCUUACCUUGCCUCGGAAUAUCCGCCGCUCUGGAGGGGUCCUGAGGAGACCCCUGCGGGUCUUGACGCUGCUCCUCCUCAUUAGGCUUGGCCCCUCACGAGGGCCAUACCUUGAAUGGUGCCCUGCCCGUUGGUUUAUUCUGAUGAGGUGGGCCCGCCUUGGGCAAUAGGCAGGCACGUCUGGUACGCCCAUUCCCAAAACGCCGACAGUAGCCCUUGGGCCCGCAGAGUGCUCGGGUUGGCGUCGGGGUGGAGCCUAGGGGGGCAGCAUGAGGCGCCCUGGGCCCUCAAAUGCCUCUAGGCCAGGCCGGCACAUGUCACGCGGCUGGUGUCGGGUCCUCCGUGUUCUCUGUCUCUGCCCCCCUUAUUAGGUGCCUUGCUUGUAGCUUCGGUGCCUCACUGCUUUCCUUCUUCCAUACUCGCCCUUCCUCUUUGGUCUCGGACUCCAACCGGCACCUCCCAGAUCCAGCGCCGCAUAGUUCCUUGCCUGUUCAACAAUGGCACCCGCCAGCAAGCAAAAAACCAAAGGGGCAUGGUCCGGCCCCGGCUUCUCUGCUCCUGGUAUGCGCCCUCUCGAAGGACAAGAAUCUCGUCCUCGUGCUUCCAUGGACCACGACCGAGUCUAGUGAGCAUGGGCGAACCCUGAACUGGCCUGGCGCCAUAGAGGAGCGACCCGCGUCCCGGGCGAUAUACCCCUUCUUCACGGUAAUUACGCUGGGCUGGUGCCACUUUUCUCCCGGUUCUAAACCAUUGUCUUCGACCACUAUGGGAUCCAAGCCCUUCAUCUCCAGCCCAACUCCAGGUUGCUUUUGUCUGUAUUUGCUUUCUACUUCGAGGCUUUCGUUGGUUCUAGCCUUCGGUUGCCCUCCUCCGCCACUUCUUCAACUUGCGCCUGCACAAUGGCGCUCAUUUGUCGGCGUGUGUCUCCUUUGUGGCGGCCCAGAGUGGCCCUCAGGCUCCUCAAGCAUCAUUGCUCGCGAUCGUUGAGCAGUCUUCGGGGCCCCCGUGUUCUUCACAGCACUGCCCUCUGGCGUCACCACACAUGCGUGCGCUGGACNNNNNNNNNNNNNNNNNNNNNNNNNNNNNNNNNNNNNNNNNNNNNNNNNNAGGAGGAGGUCCAGAAGACCUCGGUGUUCACCCAAGGUAUAUUGAACGCGGCCUUCACCGCCUUGAGCAAUGUCGCCAACGAAAUGGGUAAGGCCGAGAGGGAGGCCGAGGCCGCCAGUGCCUUGCAUGAGAAAGCACUGAAGGAGGCUAAGGCGGCUGUCGAACGCUGUGAAGAGGUGGAAACCCGCCUCAACUUCCUUGAAGGAGGACUACCCAAGCUAGCCGAGCAGCAUCGCGUGCACAGGGAGGAGCUUAAAUCCCGCGAGACCAUGCUCGCCGCCCGGGAGGGAGAGCUAUCCCAGGAGGCGAGCAUCCUGAGCAUGAAGGAGGCGUGCUUGCAAGAGCAGGAGAAGGAGGCCGCCUCAAGGAAGGCCAACCUUGACGCCCAGGAGAAAGCUCUCGUCGGGUGUGAGGAGACGGAAACCGCGGAGCUGGCCUCCUUCCCUAACGUUGAGCUCAGGCUUCGCACGGCGCUCCCAUCCCUUUGCCGGGACGAGUUCGAUGAACCUCUGGCCACCCCGGAGGAUGUCUUUGCCACGCUCGUGAAGGGGCUCGUAACGGCGCUGAAGAUUGCCGUCGUGCAGGUGGACAAGAUCUUGGACAUCGAGUGCCGCGACCUCUUCUUCGGGCUGCGAGUCGCGUCUUCAGCCACCUCUUCACGACCCCGGAUUCGAUCUAAGCUUCGUGGAGGGGGCGACCGCCGGCGGCUCCUCCUGAUUUCUUGUCCCCGUUAUUUUCCUGCAAUGCACAUCAUGCCUCGCGGAGGCGUUGAACAUAUUUGCGUUUUUAUGAACUUGGUCACGGUUUGUAAUAAUUGAAAGCUUGAAUGUUUUCCUCGCCUUGUGUCACACCCUGUUUUUACUACCACUUCUCUGUAAUGCAAAAAUCUGAGCUUGUUAAAACUUUUUCAAAACUAAUGAUGUGAGUCCCAUGAUUGUCAUUGUAUGCUUGUGUGUUUGAUCAUGUGAUGAAAAACCCCAUUUCACAAUAGUGAUUUAUUUCCAAAAAACCUUUACAUGUUUCUGAUUAAGGUAAAACCCUACUUUGAGUUGCACUACAUGCCCUUGAUGGCAAAAAGUGUUUCUGAUUUUAACUUCAUUUUAGUGCCUUAAAACCACAAAAUAAUUAUUUUUAGAAUUAGUUUCCUCAUUAAAAGCAUGUCCAUUUCUGAGGCCGGAAUUGGUAUUCCUACAUGGAAAAAUACUUUUCUGCAUUAGUGAAAUCUGAAUAAAUUUGGAGAUGAUCAGAAGGACAUAUAUUUUCCAUACAUCAGAUUUUAAACCCUAUUUUAUAUUAUAAUUAUUUGAAUAAAAACCUGGAAGCCAUUUCUGUCUAUUUUGACCUUCUGAAAUGUUUCCAAAGGAAAUAUUCUCAAUAAACUCCUAGAAAAUUCCAGUAGUCUCCCUAAGCCAUAUUUGGUGUCCACAUAAAGUUUCACCUUGGUCCAAGGUGACUAAGGACCCCAAAUAGCCCCAAAACCCCUUCUGUCCAGAUUGAAGUUAGAGCAACUCUACAUAGCAAUGUUUAUCCAAUGAAGCUGAAACUUUGCAGGAGUGCCUAAUACCUCAAAUGAGGGUUCCACACCAAAAAUGGGAUUUGUGGGAUUUAUUUUUCCCACACUCUCUUUGGAAGGGACAGAUCUGGUCAAAUUGAAGUGUUUUCAAGUUUAUAAAGCUAAACUUGUCCAAUGGAGCUCAAACUUGGUGAAACCCCAUGUUUUACCACCAAGCCCCAAACUUGUUAAGGUGCAGCACCAGUGGUGGGGUGCAACCCCCUCAAACUCAUAUAUUAGGUGGACAAUAUCCAUAUCUAACCCAGUCAACUAGCCCCUCACUGGUUCAAAGUGGAAAGGCCAAAACCUCCAAUUUAGGCUUUAGCUCAAGGCUGACAGCACUAGCAUUUCUUGUCUCCUUUGACCAGCCAAAGCUCCCACGAGACCCAAACGGCUAGCCACACUCCCAGCCAGUGCCAGGACAUGCUAGACACGUCGAAAGUGCCUCAGAGGACACCAGCAUGCCGUGGCAUGCCAAAACUGUGCUCUGAGCGCGCUACAAUCAGCUACCAACGUGGGGGAGACGCUCUCGGCCAGUUCCAACCUUCCCCGAGGUGUCCAACCUCUUCCCAGACAACCCCUCUGCAUCGAGCAACUCUCAAGGCCCCUCCUCCCCCGCAUUAGAGCUCGUGCGACGCGUGCCCGCGGCACCAGCACCGGCCAAGGUUGCGCGGCCACGGAUUCUCGACUCGUCCCUCUCUCCCUCUGCCGGAGAUGGUUCUGGCAGUCCAAAAUCAUGUCCUAAUACCGUGGUUUCGACCCCAGCCCCUCUCUGCACCCCCAUGCGCACCACGGUGAGUUACCGACGCUCCCGAAUAACCUCACCAUCACGGGUCUAUAAAUAGUCCUCCCCCACGCUCCUGCACCCCUCAGAUAGCCUCACCACUACCACUAGCACCUCCCUAGCCACCACAGCAACCAGCGGAGCCCCGGUGCUCGAGAUUGACCGAGGCCCCUCCGCCUCGGAGCUCCGAUUGAUCUCCAGCUACACGAUGACUCCUGCUCCCCUCGACCCACCAAACUGAUCCCCUCAACCCCAGGAAGCUUUCCCCCAACUCGCACGGCCAUUUCCGUGUACCCCAGGAAGCUUUCCCCCAACUCGCACGGCCAUUUCCGUGUAUCUAGCCACCUCCUCGACCACCUCCCAAAACUCCUCUGUAACGGCCUCCUCGUCGCCGGUGAACCCCUGCCUCUCCGACGUUGUUCCGACCACCAGCAGGUAGGCGACGUCAUGGCGAACCCAUUCCAGUCCUUGUUGGGGCCUGAGAGCAUCGACAGCCUCGCCAACAAGCUCCUCCUCCUCUCUGCCAGAGGUAGGAGACGACCCCGACAGGUGUGCCGCACCUAUCGGUGGCCCAGCCUCCUCCCCAGCGUUGUCCACAGCCACUGACGUUAGGUUCAAAGAGUUUUAUAAAAAUAUUUAGCCAGUGUAAAAAUAUAAUUUUUCCACUGUUAUUCUUCAAAAAAUAUGUAGUAUUUAACAAUAUGAUUGGAUGAAUUUUGCUACAACUAUUCUGUUUUACAAUAAUAAAAAGGACUAAAUUGGAAUAGUUUUGAUUCUGUUUGGUUAAUUUUAAAAAUGUUACUUCAAGAGAAUUUGAGGCAAAUAAUUUUCAAAAUGACAACUUAGAUUUAUCAGUAAUGAAGAACAUUUUUUAAAAUGACUUUGUGAUAUGUUUCUGUGUGAGCUAUUUCUUAUUGACUGUUUUAUCGACGAUAGAAAAUCCGGGUGACGAGGGAAUCGGAGCAGAAGACCUCGAAGACCCCGGAUACCUAGCUGACCAAGGCAAGCAGCCCUUUGACCAUGACUGAGCAUAUGUUACUUUGCAUGUUAAGAUAGCAAGUAUUUCCGUUGCAUAUGAUCAUAAGUGUCGGUAAUCAUUUGAUAUGAUUUUACCGAUGGCUCCCCCGGAGCACAUGCAUUGAGCUUGAUCUUACCCCUUGAGGGUCAUGCUAAUAUCGUAUUGACAAGUAAAGUUAGAAGUAGUAUUAUCAUGAGCAUAUUGAUGACAUAAACCAAAGAGUUUAUGAAAACCCCGUCAGGUGCCACUAAUGCCCGAGGGUGACGAUGAGUUAGAUGUCCACUUUUGGUGAAGUGGUGCACCGGGUACUUUGAGUGAGUAUAGUUUCAGAAAUGGGAUUAGAUUUAUGAUGUGUUGACCGUCCCAACCUUACCAGUAUGACCACGUUACCCCUUAUGGGAUGGGGCUAUGUUAAUUACUCUAGUUGUUGCUGGCAAAGAGCCACAUUACUAGUGGCAGGAGUGAUGUGUGGUCACUCUCGUGAUGUGGUCGUGCCAGGUAGGACGACUAUGCCAUUUUUAUGAGUUCCAGUCACAGCGCUGGUCCCCACACGGUUGCUACUGUCCAGAUUCGGUGCUAGUAAGACAGACAACAUGUGUGCUGGGUACCAAUUGAGUGGACCUCUUUGUCUAAUAUCGUCAAGGGAAAGGCCUUGAUCGGGUACUUACGUCAGGUAUGUUAUAUACCGCGAGUCGUGGAUGACACGGAUGUUUCCCGGAUCUCGUGGGUCCAGCGUACUACCUCUGUAGAGUGUAAAACUAUUUGAAUAGCCGUGUCCACGAUCAAGGACAGUUGGGUAAUCCUGCUUAAACUACGUCCAGCUGUUUCCGCAUAAACCAAGUGUGUGUGUUGUGUUAAAAAUGUGUUGUUAUGAAAGUAAUGAUAUGACCAAGUUUGGUGACUUGGCAUAUAGGGUGAGCACGGAUGGCUCAUCCCUCGACAGAUAUAUUGAUAUCUGUAACCUGUUCUUCAAAAGUAAUUCUUUAACUUGAUGCAUAUUCAUGAUAAUUCCACCCCGAUGAAAUCCACCAAAGAUGCGUGAUAUUGUUUAUCCUUCACUUUCAUUGUUCAUAACAUGGGCUGUUUGCGAGUACAUUCAAAGUACUCAUUGGCUUGUCACUAGUUAUGUUAUUGACUAGACAUGGAGGGACUAGAGUUUGGAGCACAGUACGUCUUUGGAGACGCCCGUGCGAACUAGCAUGUUUCCUCUGCUUCUGAUGAGGUGCUUUCCUGUGCUUUUGCGUGAUAGCCUCGACAAGUGUCAAGUACGCCGCACGCCCAUCUUCCUCUACCACGAGCACUGGGUCAACACCGACACUAAGGAAUAUCACGUGGACGUGAUAGAGAAGGCUAAUGACUCCCUGACUAGUUGGUUCUUUGAAGAUCCACAGAUGGAAUAUCUGAUGUUGGUAGUGGAGACCGCAACACGAGAGGCGCUCAUGCGAAUCCGGGACAUCCUUCUCGAGAUGGCUGAUGCGCCAUCUACUCGUGACCUACCUUUUGUUAAGGAUUGGGUAGACGGGAGAUGGACACUCAACCCAUCUUCCAAGGACGGGACGCCACUGAGGUUUCAGACCUACUUCAGUCUCUCCUCCAACACUUUGACACACCUUUUGAUCAAGGAGUCAACUAGGAUCCGCCAAGAGCGGCACCAAGUCAAGGAUCUGCUUCGCACGGAGAAGAUGAAGAACAGCAAGGUGAAGAAGGAAGGAGCACCCAUAGGACCACCAGAUUUUGCUUUCUAAGGAGGCCAUUCCUCUACAGAGUCGUCACUUGACUGCGGAAGAGUACACCGAACUCUUCGCUACCUCGCCAACCAAGAGACGCCGUGAUGGUCCACUUCCUUCUCCUACUCCAUCAAAGAAGGGAAUCACUCAUGAAGAUGAAGAUGAAGAUGAAGAUGAAGACGAAGAUCUCGCAAAACCCGCUUAUGAGACCGCGCGGUCGGCCGCUUAGCUUUAGCAGCGUACGCAAUUAGGAUGUACCCCCGAGCAUAGGAGUUCUUGUAUCGGUUUGUACGAACCACGAGUGUUGUGUAAGCCUGUUGGAUGCAAGUCGCAUUCUGGCUUAGGCAGCUUGUGAGCGAUUACAUUGCUUGUUUUUAAUAUAAUGAAGUAGCUCUUUUCAAAAUCAUUGGCUUAAAUUUUUUACACUAGCACAACACCAGACCCCCUCUUUACCAGAGCAUCAUCCCUUAUGAUUUCAGCAAGUUCAGCACAUUGACCUGUCUACUCCCCUGACAGGAUGGUGAAUGCAACUCGCAACAGCACCUUCGGCAACCCCAGCUCUGCCUCUUCAGGUCAGCAGCAAGGAACCGUAGGGGAAGGUCAAGCUGGAGAUCACCACGCGCAGCAAGACGAUGUUCCACCGCUGUCGCCUCCUCCUGAAAGCUUGACCAUGGAUCAGUCCCUUCAAGCUCUUUCACAGGAGGGUCAAGCCAACAAUGCCGCUAUUCAGCAGCUGGCUAAAACCUUGAUGAACAACCCACCACAGAACGGGAAUGGCAAUGGUGGCUCAACUCUCUCCGAGUUCAUGCGAACUACGCCACCCAUAUUCACGGAGACAACUGAACCAUUGGAUGCCGAUCACUUGAUCUGUACUAUCGAAGACCUCCUCGCGCUGGUCAAGUGCACUGAUGAUCGUGAGAAAGUUCUCUAUGCUUCUCACGGUCUCGGAGGCACAGCCAGAGCUUGGUUGUAUGGAUUCCUUGCUGUGUUCAAAGAUGGAUUCCUUGCUGCUCACAUUCCUCCCGGAAUGAUGACCUUUAAGAACCGGGAAUUCGCAGCCUUAAGGCAAGGCAGUGGAUCCGUCAAGGAAUAUUUGCAGAAGUUUAACCUCCUAUCACGAUUCGCACCUGAGGACGUCAACACUGAGGCCUCCAAAGUGGAAUGCUUUAUGGAACGACUACACCAACACUCCAGUAUCAGCUGGUUGUUUGUGAAUGCUGGACCUUCAACGAUCUGGUUAAUAAGGCCCUUAUGUUGGAAGACAAGCGUCAUGCCACGGACGACACCCGUAAAGUCAAGCUAAUGGGUAGUGGAGGACCAAGUAACACGAAGCCACAACCAUGGCAGCCAGCUCCAGCAAGACCCAACUAUCAGUAGCACUACAAGUAUCCAACAUUUCGCCAGAACUACCAGCCUCAGCAGCAGGUCAACACCAAGCCNNNNCUCCCAGCCUCACCAGGAAGUCAACACCAAGCGAGCAAGCAAUCCGCCAAACAACGGUGGAAUCAAGGCCAAUCUUCCAGUACAAGUUACCUGUUUCGGAUGUGGACAAACAUGGCACUAUUCCAGGCAGUGCCCCAACAAGAAACCCGAUGCUUAGUGCCCCAAUGCGCCAAAUCCAGGCCAAGGAGCACCAGUCAGGAAUUAGGCUCCCGCAAUCAGCAGUAUCACAUCAAGGGGCGGAUUAAUCAUAUUUCCGCAGAAGAGGCACAAGAAGACCCGGACUGCAUUCUGGGUACGUUCCUCGUCAACUCUACCCCAGCAAAAAUAUUGUUUGAUUGUGGUGUUUUGCAUUCUUUUGUUACGCAAAAGAUUGCGGAAAAAUGUGGUUUACAACCCACCUUGCUUCAUGGGCAUAUGGCAAUUCAAACCCCGGGAGCAGUUUUGAGUACCAACCUAGGGUGUAGGAAGGUCGGGAUAGUUAUCAAUGGGACGAGCUUCUCAGCGGAUCUCAUUGUGCUUAAGUCGCAAGGCCUAGAAGUAAUUCUCGGCAUGGAUUGGUUGGUCAAGCAUCAAAGUAUCUUGGACUGUGCUAACAGGGCCAUUACCAUGACAAGUGACCAAGGUGUGAAAGUCAAGUAUGUCUCUGAGCCAGUACCCACUCAAGUACCACGGGUUAACAGCCUGUCAGAGGAAGAACUCGAUCGAGUGCCAAUAGUGUGUGAAUACCCGGACAUCUUUCCUGAUGAGCUACUAGGGAUGCCUCCUGACCGAGACAUCGACUUCAUCAUUGAACUCAUGCCCGGAUCAAGUCCUAUCUAUAAGAAGCCUACAGGAUGUGAUCCGAAGAGCUAGCGGAGUUGAAGAAGCAGCAGGAUGAGCAACUCAGGAAAGGAUUUAUACGUCCAAGUGCGUGACCUUGGGGAUCACCUGUUCUUUUCGUGUCCAAGAAGGAUGGGACUAUCCGACUCUAUGUCGAUUACCGUUCUCUCAAUGAGGUGACAAUUAAGAACAAGUUCCCACUCCCCAAGAUUGAAGACUUAUUCGAUCAGCUAAAUGGAGCUAAGGUAUUCUCCAAGAUAGAUCUCCGAUCUGGAUAUUACCAACUGAAGAUCCGACCUGAGGACAUACCUAAGACUGCGUUCAUGACCCGGUACGGUAUGUAUGAAUGCACCGUCAUGUCUUUUGGGUUGACUAAUGCCCCAACUUACUUCAUGUACCUCAUGAAUAUGGUCUUCAUGGAAUACCUGGACAAGUUUGUCGUCGUAUUCAUUGAUGACAUAUUAAUCUUUUCCAAGUCUGAAGAAGAGCAUGAGCAACACUUGAGGUUAGUAUUAGUGAAGCUUCGAGAGCACCAACUUCAUGCCAAGUUCAGCAAAUGCCAAUUUUGGUUGAACGAAGUUGGAUUCUUGGGUCAUACAAUGACCGCAUGUGGAUUGGCAGUUGAUCCCUCCAAGAUUACUACGGUAACCAACUGUGAAUCACCGAUUGAUGUGAAGGAAGUUAGGAGCUUCCUCGGACUCGUGGGAUAUUACCGCAAGUUUGUAGAAGAAUUCUCCCGCAUCGCUCGACCCAUGACUCAUCUCUUGAAGAAAGUCAAGAAGUUCAAAUGGACGCUGGAGUGUGAAGCCAGCUUCCAAGAAUUGAAGGAGAGAUUAACCACCGCCCCGGUAUUGGCCACUCGAGAUAUCAGCAAGGAGUUUGUGAUAUAUUGUGAUGCCUCGAGGACCAGACUUGAUGGGGUUCUAAUGCAGAAUUGCGGAGUCGUGGUGUAUUUGUCCCGACAACUGCGCCUGCAUGAGGAGAACUAUGCCACCCAUGAUCUCGAGUUGGCAGCCGUAGUGCAUGCCCUGAAACACAUGGCGACAUUACCUUUUGGGGAAGCGAUGUGAAAUAUACACUGACCACAAAAGUCUGAAGUAUAUCUUCACUCAAAGGGAAUUGAAUAUGAGUCAACGAAGAUGGUUGGAGUUAAUCGAAGACUACGACCUUAGCAUUCAAUAUCACCACGGUAAGGCCAAUGUAGUGGCCGAUGCCUUAAGCCGGAAGACCAGCACCUUGAACGUCAUGCUCAAGGAAAGGCAACCCGCCUUAUAUGAAGAAUUGGAGAACUUCGGGUUGGAACUACUAGAAUUAGGAUUCCUAGAUAACCUCGAAGUCAAAUCAACGCUGGUUGACGACAUUAAGGAGGCCCAGAAGGGUCAUAAGAGCAUUGAAGGCAUCAGGAAGAAGAUUCAAGAAGGCAAGGCCCCAGGAUUCUCGGUGGAUGAACAAGGAGUUGUGUGGUUUGGGCAAUGUUUAUGUGUACCCAACAAGGAUAAACUCAAGGAUUUGAUCCUACAGGAAGCACAUGAUACACCCUACUCUAUUCACUCUGGUGGUACCAAGAUGUAUCAAGAUCUCCAAGAAUGAUUCUGGUGGCAUGGCAUGAAGAGGGAAAUAGCGUCCUAUGUUUCCAAGUGAGACGUGUGCCAACAAGUCAAGGCUGAGCAUCAGCGACCUGCAGGACUGCUACAACCUCUCAAAGUGCCAGAAUGGAAGUGGGACAAGAUAGUCAUGGACUUUAUUACCGGCUUACCAAGGUCUAGCAGAGGCCAUGACUCUAUAUGAGUUAUUGUCGACCAUUUGACCAAAGUGGCCCAUUUCAUUCCUCUCAACACCACAUAUGAUGGGAACAAGUUGGCUAAUCUCUAUAUUGAGAGUAUUGUAAGCCUUCAUGGAGUUCCCAAGGAGAUUGUAUCUGACCGAGGCACGUAGUUCACCUCAAGAUUUUGGAAAAAGUUCCAAGAAGCCCUCAGAACCAAGCAGUCUUUGAGAACCGCUUUGCACCCACAAACGGGCGGACAAACGGAAAUAGUGAAUCAGAUACUCGAAGGUAUGCUCUACGCACGAGUCUUGGUGCAUGGAGCCAAAUGGGAAUACUGUCUGCCGUUUGCCGAGUUUUCAUACAACAACAGCUACCAGUCCAUUCUCCAAAUGGCCCCAUUCGAAGUGUUGUACAGACAAAAGUGUCGCAUCCCGCUCAAUUGGUUCGAAACCGGAGAAGGACUUAUUUUUGGGCCGGAAGUUUUGCAUAAGGCAGAAGAGAAUCUAAAAGCAGCCAAGUCACGACAAAAGAGCUAUGCGGAUUCUCGCCGCAGGGAUGUGGAGUUCAUUCCCGGAGACCUGGUGUACCUCCAUGUCACACCUCUCAAGGGAACAAGUGUUUCCACGUUAAAGGGAAACUCGCUCCAAGGUUCAUUGGACCUUUUAAGAUCACGACAAGGCAUGGAGAAGUUGCUUAACAGUUGGAGCUACCUCCGGAACUUUUGGGUGUGCACAACGUCUUCCACGUGUCACAACUUUGGAAGUGUCUUCAAGCACCAAAUUGUCCCGAUCUUUACAAGGACAUUGACCACCAGGCCAUUGACCUUCAGCCUGAUCUUACCUACCGCGAGAAGCCGGUCCACAUUUUGGAUGAAGUUGAGCAUUGCACCAGAAGCCGCGCCAUCAAGUAUUCCAAGAUUCAGUGGAGCAACCACACCGAAGCCGAAGCAACAUGGGAGCGUGAAGACAAUCUCCGGUCUGAGUUUCCGGACAUUUUUAGCACCUAGCUUAGGAAUCUCGGGGACGAGAUUCUUGUAAGGGGAUAGGUCUAUCACACCCUGUUUUUACUACCACUUUUGUGUAAUGCAAAAAUCUGACCUUGUUAAAACUUUUUCAAAACUAAUGAUGUGAGGGCCAUGAUUGUCAUUGUAUGCUUGUGUGUUUGAUCAUGUGAUGAAAAACCCCAUUUCACAAUAUUGAUUUAUUUCCAAAAACCUUUACAUGUUUUUGAUUAAGGUAAAACCCUACUUUGAGUUGCACUACAUGCCCUUGAUGGCAAGAAUUGUUUCUACCCAAAGUUGGUGAUCUGAUUUUAACUUCAUUUUACUGCCUUAAAACCACAAAAUAAUUAUUUUUAGAAUUAUUUUCCUAAUGAAAUUGCAUGUACAUUUCUGAGGCCAGAAUUGGUAUUCCUACUUGGAAUAAUACUUUUCUGCCUUAGAAAAAUCUGAUUAAAUUUGGAGAUGAUCACUUGGACAUAUCUUUCCAUACAUAUUAUAAUUAUUCGAAUAGAACCCUGGAAGCCAUUUCUGUCAAUUUUGACCUUUUGAAAUAUUUCCAAAGGAAAUAUUAUCAAUAAAAUCCUAGAAAACUCCAGUAGUAUCCCUAAGCCAUAUUUGAUGUCCACAUAAAGUUUCACCUUGGUCCAAGGUGAUUAAGGACCCCAAAUGACCCCAAAACCCCUUCUGUCCAGAUUGAAGUUAGAGCAACUCGACAUAGACAAGUUUAUCCAAUGAUGUUGAAACUUUGCAGCAGUGCCUAAUACCUCAAAUGAGGGUUCCACACCAAAAAAGAGAUUUGUGGGACUUAGUUCGCCCACACUCUCUUUGGAAGGGACAAAUCCGGUCAAAUUGAAGUGUUUUCAAGUUUGCAAAGCUAAACUUUUCCAAUGGCGCUCAAAAUUUAUGAAACCCCAUGUUUUAGCACCAAACCCAAACCUGUUAAGUUGCAGCACAAGUGGUGGGGUGCAACCCCCUCAAACCACUGUCGGGCACCUUCUGACAAAUAGGGAAAAGCCACCUUAGCGAGAGCUAAACCCAACCCCUUUGCUCCAUACUCAUAGAUUAGGUGGUCAGUAUCCAUAUCUAACCCCAGUCAACUAGACCCAAACGGCGAGCCACACUCCCAGCCAGUGCCAGGACAUGCUAGAUACAUCCAAAGUGCCUCAGAGCACACCAGCAUACUGUGGCAUGCAAAAACUGCGCUCUGGGCGCGCUACUGGAAGCCACCAAGGUGGGGGCGACGCUCUCGGCCAGUUCGAGCCUCCCCCGAGGUGCCCAACCUCUUCCCCGACAACCCCUCUGCAUCGAGCAACCCUCAGGGCCCCUUCUCCCCCGUGUUAGAGCUCGUGCGACGCUGCCGGCGUGCACCAGUACCGGCCAACGUUGCGCGGCCACGGAUGCUCGACUCCUCCCUCUCUCCCUCUGCAGCAGAUGGUUCUGGCAGUCCAAAACCAUGUCCUGAGACCGAGGUUUCAACCCCAGCCCCUCUCUGCACCCCCAUGCGCGCCAUGGUGAUUCACCGGCGCUCCCGAAUUGGCUCACCGUCGUGGGCCUAUAAAUAUCCCCCCUCACUCCUACGCCCCUCACAUAGCUUCACCACGACCACUAGCACCCCCCUAGCCACCCUAGCAAACUAGCACAGCCUCGGUGCUCGAGAUCGAUCGAGGCCCCUCCGCCNNNNNNNNNNNNNNNNNNNNNNNNNNNNNNNNNNNNNNNNNNNNNNNNNNNNNNNNNNNNNNNNNNNNNNNNNNCGCCUCCUGCGCCCCUCGACCCACCAAACUGAUCCCCUCAACCCGAGGAAGCUUUCCCCCAACUCGCCCGAGCAUUUCCGUGUGUCUAGCCACCUCCUCGACCACCUCCCAAAAGUCCUCCGCCACGACCUCCCCGUCCCCGGUGAACCCCUACCUCUCCGAUGUUGUUCCGACCACCAGUAGGUAGGCACGUCAUCACGAACCCAUUACAGUGCUUGUUGGGGCCUGAUACCGUCGACAGCCUCGCUGGUGUGCUCCUCCUCCUCUCUAGCCAGACAUAGGAGAUGACCCCGAUAUGUGUGCCUCACAUGUCGGUGGCCCAGUCUCCUCCCCCGCGCUGUCCACAACCACUGACCAUAGGGCUCCGCAUGUGAGGUUCAAACCUGACGGCACGAGCACCUGGGCAGGCUGUCAGCUGGCCUUGGGCCAGCCCAGCUCGAGGCCGAGCCAGGCCAGGGGCUUAGCCCAUUUUUAUUUAUUUUUAAAAAUCUGAUUUCAAUGAUUUUUAUAAAAAUAUUUAGCGAUGGUAAACAUAUAUUUUUUCAACUGUUAUUCUUCUAAAAAUAUGUAGUAUUUAAUAAUAUGAUUGGAUGAUUUUUCUACAACUAUUCUGUGUUACAAUAAUAAAAAGGACUAAAUUGGAAUAGUUUUGCUUCUCUUUGGUUAAUUUUCAAAAUGACAACUUAGAUUUAUCAGUAAUAAAUAACAUUUUUUAAAUUGACUUUGUGAUCUGUUUCUGUAUGAGCUAUUUCUUAUUUGUUGUUUUAUCGACGAUAGAAAAUCCAUGUGACGCGGGAAUCGGAGCGGAAGAUCUCGAAGACCCCGGAUACCUAUCUGACCAAGGCAAUUAGCCCUUUGACCAUGACUGAGCAUAUGUUAAUUUGCAUGUUAAGAUAGCAAGUAUUUUUGUUGCAUAUGAUCAUAAGUGUCGGUAAUCAUUUGAUAUGAUUUUACCGAUUGCUCCCCCGGAGCACUUGCAUUGAGCUUGAUCCUACCCCUUGAGGGUCAUGCUAAUAUCAUGUUGACAAGUAAAGUUAGAAGUAGUAUUAUCAUGAGCAUGUUGACGACAUAAAUCAAAUAUUUUAUGAAAACCCCGUCGGGUGCCACUAAUGCCCGAGGGUUUUGAUGAGUUAGGUGGCCACUUUUGGUGAAGUGGUGCACCAGGUACUUUGAGUGAAUAUGGUUUCGGAAAUGGGAUUAGAUUUAUGAUGUGUCGACCGUACCAACCUUACCAGUACGAACAUGUUAACCCUUAUGGGACGGGGCUAUGUUAAUUACUCUGGUCAUUGCUAGCAAAGAGCCACAUUAUACUAUUGGUGGGAGUGAUGUGUGGUCACUCUCGUGAUGGGGUCGUGCCAGGUAGGAUGACUAAGCCAUUUUUAUGAGUUCCAGUCACACCGUUGGUCCCCGCAUGGUUGGAACUGUCCAGAGUCGGUGCUCGUAAGACGUACAACAUGUGGGCUGGGUACCAAUCGAGUGGACCUCUUUGUCUAGUAUCGCCGGGGGAAAGGCACUAAUCGGGUACUUACCUCGGGUAUGUUAUAUACCGCGAGUCGUGGAUGACACGGAAGUUUCCCGGAUCUCGUGGGUCCAGUGUACUACCUUUAUAGAGUGUAAAACUAUUCAAAUAGCCGUGUCCACGUUCAAGGAUAGUUUGGUAAUCCUGCUUAAACUACGUCCAGCUGUUUCCGCAUAAACCUAGUGUGCGUGUGUUGUGUUAAAAAGGUGUUGUUAUGAAAGUAAUGAUAUGAUCAAGUUUGGUGACUUGGCAUAUAGGGUGAGACCGGAUGGCUCAGCCCUCGGCAGAUAUAUUGAUUUCUGUAACCUGCUCUUCAAAAGUAAUUCUUUAAAUUGAUGCAUAUUCAUGAUCAUUCCACCCCGAUGAAAUCCACCGAAGAUGCAUGAUAUUCUUAUCCUUCACUUUCAUUGUUCAUAUCAUGGGUUGUUUGCGAGUACAUUCAAAGUACUCAUUGGCUUGCCACUUGUUAUGUUAUUGACCAGACAUGGAGGGACCAAAGUUUGGAGAUGAGUAUGUCUUCAGGGACGCCCCUACAAACUAGGACGCUUCCGAGUCAGAAUGACUGUCGGUGUAGGCUUGAUGGCAUGGGCACCCGCUUAUCCCCUAUAAUUUCUGCUACUAGUUGUAUCAGAAUUAUUUGGCCUUAGGCCCGGCCUUGUGAACUUGACCAUUCGGUCAUGUGUUGUAAAAAUCGGUACUUGGAUGAAAGACUCUUUUAUUCGGUAUCUGUGUUCGGUGAGCAUUGAUCUCUAGGAUCACUGAGCACGGCGAUCUCGACCCGUAAGUCGGGGUACCCACACCUUGUUCAUGUCAUGUCUACUAUGUUACUCUAAGUAGGCAGGACCCGCCCCGCGCGUACCUUCCUGCGAUUGAACCGAUCGGAAAACCAAGGACGGCCCAAAGUGGGAAGGGGCUACGAGCGUAGUUAGGCUCCUAAGUCACGAUGCUCACGAGCCCCCCUUGAUGCACGAGCUUCCCUCAUGAUGAGAACGCGGUGAAGAUUUCGAAACUUGGGACAUAUUCAACACUCCGCGUCGACAGGGCCCGCCCCGCGCGUACCUCCCUGCGAUUGAACCGAUCAAAAACGAAGGACGGCCCAAAGGGGGAAGGGGCUACGAGCGCAGUUAGGCCCCUGAGUCGCUAUGCUCAGGGGUACCCCUUGACGUAUGACUAACACCAAUGUUCCUCCUAAGAAGCCGAUAAUUCGAGACUCUCGAACUCCUUCAACACUCUGCGUCGGCAGGGCCCGCCCCACGCGUACCUCCCUGCGGUUGAACCGACCGGAAAGGGCGGCUCAAAAGGGAAAGGGGUUACGGGCAUAGUCCAGGCUCCUGAAUCGCGAUGCUCAGGAGUCCCCCUUGACGUAUGAGUGACUCCAGUGUUCUUCCUAAGGGAUCUGAAGUGAUUUGUCGAGUGCACUAGGCUCUGCUACGGAAGGGCCCACCCCGCGCGUACCUUCUUGCGAUUGAACCGACCAAGGACGACCCAAAGGGGGAAGAGGCUACGGGCAAAGUUAGGCCCUUGAGUCCUGAUGCUCAGGGGUCCCCCUUGACGUGUGAGCGGCUCCAAACCUUUAGCUAUUUGACCCACGUACUGGGCGUGGGUGAAGUCGCGGGUGGACUGUGUUGAUCUCCUUGCCGGCCGAGGGAGUAGCCGCUGACGGGUUGUGUUGGUUCCAGCUGUGGGCACAAUCAUUGGCGUACUGCAUUGGUGCUAGCUAAGGGUGUAGUCAUUGGCGGACUAUGUUGAUUGCCCCUAUGUGUACCUAAUGCGGGGCAUAGGUCUUCCACUAGGCGUGGGGUGGACCCCUCCCUGUCCUCAGGGGGCCCUGGGUGUAUAUAGCCUCGGCUCGUUAUUACGUGAGAGUGUCAUGGUGGGGGUGUACAUGGAGGUCGUGAGGACGCUUUGGCCUCGCGAGUGUCCCUUACCCCCGAGUCAUUGGUGGACUGAGCUUCUUACCAGCACGGAGCAUAGAGCUUCCACUAGGCGUGGGAUGGACCCCUCCGCGUCCUUGGGGUCCUUGGGGGUAUACAGCCUCGGCCUCAUUAUUACGUGAGAGUGUCAUGGUGGGGGUCUACAUGGGGGGUCGCGAGGACGCUACGGCCUCGCAAGUGUCACUACCCCCGAGUUAUUGGUGGACUGAGUUGAUUUUGUUUGGGUCAUUGGAAAGCCUUGGUGAAUUCUUCUUCUUCAGGAGCGAGGCUGCGUAUCUACAUGGACAAGCUUCGACCGGAGCCCCCCAAGCGGGGGGCUGACUUCCCGACAAUAUAAGCAAGGAAGAUCGUUAGGAUUCUCAACGCGUGAAAUUGAACAAUCAAACGAUGCAUACACGAAAGUAGCAUCUAGAGGAGUGUCGUGAGCUCGGGGAGGCCGCAUGGCCCUCGGGGUGCCCUCACACGGGGUGAGCCAAAAUGUUACCUCGCAUCAGCCAACAAAAAGUCACCUGGCGGCCGUGCUGCUGAUGUAUCGAAGGCGCCAUCAUCGCUUGAUCUCUUAUCUCCACGGUCGCGACCCUCACGGGUCCGCUGCCUCCCGUGGAUCGGGGCCUUUGCUUGGCCCGAGCAUCUCCUCCUUUUCCUCGCGGCGCCCCAUAAGCGGGGUACGAGCAUGACCCGCUGCAGCCUCUGGUUGGUGGCAGUUGCGUUCCCUAGCCCGAAGGGCAUGAAGGCAUUGGUGUCCGGGUACUCCCGUCGGUAGCCAGCCAGCUGAUACGUCCAUUUUGCGUCAUGUUUUCAUGUCGAUAUUUAUCGCUUCUUGGGCUGUUAUUUUCACUUCAUGGUACAAUUCUUAUGCCUUUUCUCUCUUAUUUUGCAAGGUUUACAUGAAGAGGGAGAAUGUCAGCAGCUGAGAUUCUAGCCUGAAAGUGGAGCAAGUUUGAGAUACCUAUUCUGCGCAACUCCAAAGGCCGUAAAAAUCAACUAUGAUUUUUUUUGUAUUGAUAAAAAAUAUUGGGCCGAAGAAGCGCCAGAGGGGCGCCAGCAGGUGGCCACAAGCCUGCUAGGCGCGACCACCCCCCUAGCCGCGCCUAGGGGGCUUGUCGGCAGCCUGCUGGCCCACUGGCCCCCCUCUUCUGCUAUAUGAAGGGUUUUGUCCGGAAAAAAAUCGAGGAGGAGAUUUUUCGUGGAUUCGCCACCGCCACGAGGCGGGACUUGAGCAUAACCAAUCUAGAGCUCCGGCACGACGAUCCUGCAAGGAAAACUUCCCUCCCGGAAGGGGAAAUCGUCGCCAUCGUCAUCACCAACACUUCUCUCAUCAGAGGGGACUCAUCACCAUCAACAUCUUCAUCAGCACCAUCUCAUCUCCAAACCCUAGUUCAUCACUUGUAACCAAUCUCCGUCUCGAGACUCCGAUUGGUACUUGUAAGGUUGCUAGUAGUGUUGAUUACUCUUUGUAGUAGAUGCUAGUUGGAUUAUUUGGUGGAAGAGUUUAUGUUAAGAUCCUUGAUGCUACUCAUUACCUCUCUGGUCAUGAAUAUGAUUAUGCUUUGUUAGUAGUUACUUUUGUUCCUCAGGACAUGGGAUAAGUCAUGCUAAUAGUAGUCAUGUGAAUUUGGUAUUCGUUCGGUAAUUUGAUGUGUUGUAUGUUGUUUUUCCUCUAGUGGUGUUAUGUGAAUGUCAACUACAUAACACUUCACCAUUCUUUGGGCCUAGAGGAAGGCAUCGGGAAGUAGUAAGUAGAUGAUGGGUUGCUAGAGUGACAGAAGCUUAAACCAUAGUUUAUGCGUUGCUUCGUAAGGGGCUGAUUUGGAUCCACUAGUUUAAUGAUAUGGUUAGACUUUGUCUUAAUUCUUCUUUCGUAGUUGUGGAUGCUUGCGAGAGGGGUUAAUCAUAAGUGGGAUGCUUGUUGAAGUAAGGGCAGUACCCAAGCGCCGGUUGACCCACAUAUCAAACUAUCAAAGUAACGAACGCGAAUCAUAUGAACAUGAUGAAAACUAGCAUGACAGAUAUUCCCGUGUGUCCUCAGGAGCGUUUUUCCUCCUAUAAGACUUUGUCCAGGCUUGUCCCUUUCUACAAAAGGGAUUGGGCCACUUUGCUGCACUUUUGCUACUUUUGUUACUUGUUGCUUGCUAUGAAUCAUCUCACCACACAAUCACUUGAUACCGAUAAUUUUAGUGCUUGCAGAUAUUUCCUUGCUGAAAACCACUUGUCAGAUCCUUCUACUCCUCGUUGGGUUCGACAAUCUUACUUAUCGAAAUGACUACGGUUUAUCCCCUAUACUUGUGGGUCAUCAAGACUCUUUUCUGGCGCCGUUGCCGGGGAGUGAAGCGCCUUUAGUAAGUGGAACUUGCUAAGGAAACAUUCAUAUAGUGUGCUGAAAUUUAUUGUCACUUGUCACUAUGGAUACUAAUCCUUUGAGGGGCUUGUUCAGGGUAUCUUCACCUUGAAAGGAAGCACAAAUAGUUGCUCCUCAACCUGCUGCACCUAGUGAAAAUAUUUUCUUUGAAUUUCCUUCGGGUAUGCUUGAGAAACUGCUGGCUAAUCCUUUUACAGGAGAUGGAACAUCACAUCCAGACUUGCAUCUGAUCUAUGUAGGUGAAGUUUGUGGUUUAUUUAAGCUUGCAGGUUUGCCCGAGGAUGAGGUCUUUCCUUUAUCUUUGAAGGAUAAGGCGUUGACAUGGUAUAGGCUAUAUGAUGAUACUGGAUCAUGGGACUACAAUCGGUUGAAAUUGGAAUUUCAUCAAAAGUUUUAUCCUAUGCAUUUAGUACAUCGUGAUCGGAAUUAUAUUUAGAAUUUUUGGCCUCGUGAUAGAGAAAGCAUCACUCAAGCUUGGGGGAGGCUUAAAUUAAUGUUAUAUUCAUGCCCCAAUCAUGAGCUCUCGAGAGAAAUUAUCAUUCAAAACUUUUAUGCUCGGCUUUCUAAUGAUGAUCGCACCAUGCUUGAUACUUCUUGUUCCGGUUCUUUUACGAAGAGAGAUAUUGACUUCAAAUGGAAUUUAUUGGAGAGAAUUAAAUGCAACUCUGAAGAUUGGGAGAUAUCAUAUUUGCAUCAACCUGGCUCUGAUACCACUAUUCGGGAACGUCGCAUGGGAAACAAAAAAUUUCCUACACACACGCAAUACCUAUCCAUGGUGAUGAUCAUCUACGAGAGGGGAGAGUGAAUCUACAUACCCUUAUAGAUCGCUAAGAGAAAGUGUAUAUAAUGCGGUUGAUGUAGUGGAACACCUUCGCGAUUGAAAUCGCAGCCUGUCCCGUGAUCUUAUCACGAUCCAUCCCACGAUCCCAUCACGAUCCAUCUCGAUCUAGUGCCGAACGGACGACACCUCCGCGUCCAGCACACGUACAACUCAAUGACGACCCCGCCUUCUCGAUCCAGCAAGAAAGACGAGGAAGUAGAUGAGUUCUCCAGCAGCAUAACAGCGCACCGGUGAUGGUGGUGAUCUAUUCCUGCAAGGCUUCGCCUAAGCACCGCAGAAAUCCGAUCUAGAGGAAGAACUACAAACUAGAGGAGAGGGUAGCACGUGGCAGGAAUUACGUGUCAAAAAACCUCAAACCACUAGUAUAUAUAGGAGGGAGGAGGCAGUCUUGCCCACCAAGGGAAAGCCCUUGGUGUCGGCUGAACCAUAGGAGGGAGGAGUCCUCCUCCAAUCAUACUUGGAUUAGGACUACUUUGCAAAUUGUCCACCUCUUUUGGAUUUUCCACCUUUUUCCAUAUGGGCUUACUUUGGUUGACUAGACCGCCCACUAAGAGCUACUGCGCCACCAUCAAGUCCACGUGGCCCUCUUGGGGAGUGGUGGGCCCACCUGGUGGACCCCCGGUACCCAUUCGUCACUCCUGGUACACUACCGGCAAUGCCCGAAAUCCUUCCAGAAUCCAAAUACCAACUUCCUAUAUAUCAAUCUUCAUUUUUGGACCAUUCCGGAAACCCUCAUGACGUCUGGGAUCUCAUUUGGGAAUCCGAACAAAACUUUGGUCACCAGCACCUAUAACUCAACCAUACCGAAACAUCACCAAACCUUAAGUGUGCAGACCAUGCGGGUUCGAGAACUAUGCACACAUGACCUGAGAAACUCCCCGGUCAAUAUCCAAUAGUGGGACAUGGAUGUCCAUAUUGGAUCCUACAUAUUCUAUGAAGAUCUUAUCUUUUGAACCUCUAUGCCAAGGAUUCAUAUAAUCUCGUAUACCAUUCCCUUUGUCCUUCGGUAUGUUACUUACCCGAGAUUUGAUCAUCGGUAUCUCUAUACCUAUUUCAAUCUCGUUACCGGAAAGUCUGUUUACCCGUUUUGUAAUACAACAUCACGUGACUAACUCUUUAUUCACAUUGCUUGCAAGGCUUAUUGUGAUGUUGUAUUACGGAGUGGGCCCCGAGACACCUGUCCAUCACAUGGAGUGAUAAAUUCCAGUCUUGAUCCAUCCCAACCCAACAGACACCUUUGAAGAUACCUGUAGAGCACCUUUAUAGUCACCUAGUUACGUUGCGACAUUUGGUACACACAAGGUAUUCCUCUGGUCUCCGGGAGUUGCAUGAUCUCGUGGUCAUAGGAAUAGAUACAUUGGCAUGCAGAAAACAGUAGCAAUAAACUGACACGAUGAUAUGCUACGUUUAUGGUCAGGGUCUUGUCCAUCACAUCUUAUCCUAAUGAUGUGAUCUCAUUAUCAAGUCACAACACUUGUCUAUGGCCAGGAAACCUUGACUAUCUUUGAUCAACGACCUAGUCAACUAGAGGCUCACUUGGGACAGAGUAUUGUCUAUGUAUCCACACAUGUAUUUGAGUUUCAAGUCAAUACAAUUCUAGCAUGGAUAAUAAACGAUUAUCAUGAAUAAGCUAAUUUAUUAUUACCUCUAGGGAAUAGUCCCAACAAUUUCCAUCAACUAUAUAUUGAUAUAUAGAUUCUAAAGAAUUAUGUAAUCGGAAGUCUACAAUUGUUGACAUACAUUUCUCAACUAGAUUGCAAAACCUUUCAUAUGAUUGAGGUCCAAAGACCAUGGCCAUGGCAAAGUGUGAACAACACUCGGAUUGAAUUCAAGCAAAGGGUAUAAUCUAGGUAGAAAUGAUCUUGCUCAGUAAUGGAAAGGUAUUCAUAAGCAAUACCUACACCAGUUUUCUUCUAGAAGUCGAAUUUAGAAUAAUCUGGUGGUGAAACAAAGAGCAAGUAUUGUAGCACAAGGGUUCACGCAGAUACCCAACUAUUCUCUAGAUGUGGAAUCUCUUUCUCAUAACUUAUAUCAUUGGCAGUACAAAAUCAUGUAUCUCUUUAGUUGAUAGAUGUAGUAAUCACAUAUAAAUGUGGAUCACUAGAUUUAGACAUAUAUGAUUGAUUCCCGAUGGAAUCUCACUUCUGAAUCGAAAUGCAAAAUGCAACAUACAUUAUGUAAAAAUCAGUAAGUCACCAUACGACUUAUUGUUGUCGGUACAUAUGGUACAACCGACAUAGUGAAUUCCUUAUGCAUAAUUAUUACUCCUACAAUGACGAUUAUCCAUGUUUGUGUGUCUACAAUGACGACACAUUUAAUCAUCUAAAUGUCAGAGUUUAAAAUGAAGGAUUGUGGUAAAUCUAAAUACCGCUGGUUAUUCUAACUUGAGCACCUUCAUUCAUACAUUAUGUUAUACUAUGUUGUCUAUAUACAAAAUAUAUUGGAUAAAUUCAUUGUGGACAAAUAUUAUCCAUCCAUAGCUCUCAUGGUAGUUCAUUCUCUAGAUGUAGAGAAAGAUCUAUUUAGGCCAAGAGACGAUGGAAAUGAAAUAUUGGGACUCAACAUUCCAUAAUGCCAUUGGAUCGACAAAACACAAUUGGUUGUGACUCAAGAAUAUAUAUCCGUAUCUCCAAAGGCAUCGAACAUAUUGUCCUGGUUUUUCAAGUUUCACAGAAAUCUGAACACUAAUACCAUUGGAUACAUUGAUCAGAUCCCUGCUAUGUCAGAUCAUAGAGAAGUUUAGUGUUCCUACUAGGUGUGGUAGCCCUCCCAUGAAGAGUUUUCAAAGAGACCUCGUGGCUACAUCCAGCAACCAUAAUCUAGACGAUAAUGUUUCUUGUGUUUCCCGGAUGCAAAUAGGUUAUGCAAUAAGCAACAUCGCUAUAUGCAUAUCUUGCAAAUCAGAUCAUGUGACCGGUUUCUCACGAAGUCUCUAUCAACUUUUACAUUCCAUAAAUAUGUUAUUGGAAUAGGUACAUGACGGCUUCGAAAUUUGCAAGAAACAGGGGAAGUAUCUUCCUGAAUUAUUCAUGUUCUAUGCAUCAUAUUAUACUCUUUUUUCCUUCAUGAUUUUGCUAUAUAGGUUCUCAUAAAGGUUUUUAAUGAGGUAAUAUCAACAUGAGAUCAGAUAUCCUACUUUUUGUUUUCCACAGGGAUUUUAAGGAAGUAUGUACGAUGUAUUUAUUGUACUCUAAACUCUAUGAGUCUCCUUGUAUUGAGUUAAAAGAGACAAUAACCAUUAUAUGUUGCAUCAUUUUCUCCUUAUUUUCCCAGUGGCUUUACAUAAGUUUUAGCAACAUAUCAAACACAUAUAUCCUUAUUUUCCCACAGGGUUUUGUAGGUGUUUUCAAGAUGACAAGGCUUACACUAACAAGCAUGGAUUAGGGGGAGUGUUAGGAUUUAAUAAAUCCUAUUAAUCCCUACUUUUUCUAACCGGGGCGGUUGCCUCAUGUCCAUUCGGACGCACCCCUUCAGGGGCUAUAUAUAUGUGUAAUCCAUCAUCAAUGAGAACAACGAUUCAUUUUACAUCUUUUGUCUUGUCUCUCGUUUCCUACUCUAAACAAUUUCGGUCCUAUCAGGUUGGGUUGCGUGUUGGCUAUAAAUAGCCCAUCCCCUUCACCAUAGUUUUGUGGCUGCUCAGAGUUUGAUACGUCUGUUGUCAUUUUGGAGAAACCCACCUCAAAGGCAGUGAGAGAAAACAAUCCUGCGAGGAUAAACCCAAACAAGUAGAGCUAGUGUGUUUGAGCAUCACCGAAGUUGUUUUGUUCUGAGUGAACUGAAGACGUAUUACACUUGAAGACUGUGAUAUUUCAGACGGUUAGGCAUCUGGGUCUGUAGCAUUCAAGAGUCAUUGUGGAUUCUCGGGUGACCAAAUUUGUACGGAUUUCAGAAGUCUCCCCCAAAGACUUACUUGAGUGAUUGGACGUGGUCUAAGUGACCUCGGCUCAAGGGGAACAAGGUGAAUACGAGGUCUUCGGAGUUAUUUCUCAGCCUCUCGGACAAGACGUACAGUUGUCACAACAACUAGAACUCGUCCAACAAAUCUUGUGUCUUUAUCAAGCUACCGGUUCUAUCUUUCACUCUUUUACCUAACUGUGUGAACACAUACCACGAAAGACAUUCAUACCUGCCGUUUAUCAUCAUAUUGUCUGAAUUUAUCUAUGAUUUAUCUUAGUGUGUACGAUGACUAUGCUUAACAUCUUAGAUCCUUGACUGUUAUCUCUACUUGAUCCUAUUUCGCUUCUACAUACUUUGAAUACAUUCAUUCUUUCGAAGCACUUCAUAGAAAUUGCCUAUUUUAAACCCCCCUCUAGUCGAUAACUAGCAAUUUCAUUUGAAAACCCACCCUCAACCAUAGGACUGAACACCUUGUUGGGGAAGGAUCUGAAGUUCAUUUAUUCCAUUUUUUGAAAACCCUCAUAUAUUAAUUUGAUAAAACAACAUUCUUACAAUCCUUCAUUAUUCCAAUGACUUGAGCGAGGUGAGCCACCUUCUCCUUCUUGCUGAAUUCGCACCAAAUGUGUGAGAUUUGCACUAUUACUGCUUUUGUCCUUUCAAAUUUCAAUGUUGUUCUUUCUGAAUAGGUACCAGUAUUAAUCAAAUCACUAUUGCCCUGAUUGAGGAGCUAGCCACUCAGGGAAAACAAAUUUUCAAAAUAUCGGACGAAUUAUUCAAAAUGAUUGUUUUCGCUGAGCACUACAAAACAUAAUCUCAUUCGAAAAUUUAAAACGAAUUAAAAAAAUCCUCUAAUUAAGAGGAGAAAAGUAAAUCAUAUGAUACAUUUUUCUUAUGCCCUCCAAACAAAUUGUCAGGUAUAGGCAUGCACUCUUGUACCACUAGGAGCAUAAUAGAGAUACAAGAAACAAUUUGUUGGUUGGUGAAAAUAACCAAAUAGGAAGGAGUUGCGGCACUAAGAAAACCUGGAACAAUUGAAGCUUACAGUUAUAUAAUAUAAUAUUCUUUUGCGUCGAGAAAGUUCACUCACAUCAUAAGAUUCUGAGAAUUCAUUUGGCUUACUAUACAUCGGCCACAAGUUACGCCACGAGAGAAGAGACCAAUUGAGCUGAGAGAGAAAUUUUUUUUUCUAACCUACUCAUAUUAGAGACUAAUCAUCCUCUCGUACAUACAUAUUACGAUCAUUCCUCUACAGCCCAGCCCAUGUCAUGUUAUUCAAACACAUAGAAUACUAACAGGUAAUUUCUGAUCCUUUUAUAGAACGACGGGAUUAUGCAUGCAUAACCCAGGUCCUGUUGUUUUGUAACACAUGCAUGCAUGCAUGGUACCAUCGAACAAUCACUUCUUAUAUUCAAAUGGUUUUCAACAGAAAAAUAUUGGCGGUCCUCCAUGAUGCAUUGCUAUGUCAGAACUAGAUCAGUAGAAAUUUAUUGUACAUGACCCAGUUUAUGCAUUCCUCGUAACAAUUACGUGUACCAUCGAAAAUAAAACUUUCUAGCCAAUCAGUUAGCACCCAUAUGUGUUUGGGUAAAAAUAAGUGGUAAUGGGUACCGCGCACACAGAUCGACAUGGAUGUCACUUACAACGUGCGGUUGUCCAUGUAUGUCUCAUGGCCACACUUUCUUCUCCUAGGAAUGCUAUUUAACCGGAAAAUGGCUAGCACAACAUCCAUAAACGAUCAUCUCCUCAUCAACAACCUCCUUCUAAACCCUUCAUACCCUGUGGAAGUAAUCGCAAGGUCCAGAAUGGCGGUGAAUACUAAGAACACAAUUGGUGUGGUUCUCCUCCUGGUCGUGAUGGUAGCGGCGGUAUCAACACCAGUGGCAACUGCCGAAGAGUUCUGUUGGGACAAAUGUAUCAAGCGUUGCAAGGGAGAACUAGAGGUUUGCAGCCCAAAGUGCAUUCAUUUUUGCAACUAUCAAUCCGGAGCCGUAGGAUAUGUUAAGUGGGCUGCCGAUAAACUGAAGGAGGCCGCUGCUGCCCCGCCCCAAAAGGCCGUCCUCCUCAAGAAUGAAGCUCAAACGUACUUAGAACGUGCCAAUGCCCUCAACGAGAAAGCCGGGACCCCGUGAGUGUGCACCCUUCCGUCUAUAGGUGUCGCUGUUGUUAUGGUGUCGAUAAAUGUUUUGUUUAUUUAAAUUGUUGUGGUUCCAUCCCAUUUUUUUGUUUCUUUGUUAAAGUAAUAUCUUUUGUAUUAUGAUGACAAGCUUGUUCCAGUGAGUCAGUUUCUCUUGUCGACUUUACUUAUGUAUAAUGAUUUUCAUUUGAUUUGGCUAUGUAAUAAUGAAGUUCCUUCGUAUGGAAAUGUUCCUUUUUAAUGCCCAC
Molecule: long non-coding RNA, 29755 nt
Filed under: Hordeum vulgare
Lineage: Eukaryota; Viridiplantae; Streptophyta; Magnoliopsida; Poales; Poaceae
Description: long non-coding RNA (HVUL_LNC021431)
Source: RNAcentral